This 253-nucleotide ribosomal RNA is filed under the name uncultured bacterium. RNAcentral describes it as "partial 16S ribosomal RNA". It matches the Rfam family "Bacterial small subunit ribosomal RNA", at positions 524 to 776 of the family's 1533-position model. The record is from RNAcentral.
UACGAAGGGGGCUAGCGUUGCUCGGAAUCACUGGGCGUAAAGCGCACGUAGGCGGAUUGCUAAGUCAGGGGUGAAAUCCUGGAGCUCAACUCCAGAACUGCCUUUGAUACUGGCGAUCUCGAGUCCGGGAGAGGUGAGUGGAACUGCGAGUGUAGAGGUGAAAUUCGUAGAUAUUCGCAAGAACACCAGUGGCGAAGGCGGCUCACUGGCCCGGUACUGACGCUGAGGUGCGAAAGCGUGGGGAGCGAACGGG